AGUGGCGAACGGGUGAGUAACACGUGGGUAACCUACCCAUCAGAUCGGGAUACCCGAGGGAAACUUCGGCUAAUACCGGAUACGUUCAGGAGAGGCAUCUCCCCUGAAUAAAAGCAGCCUUCAAGCUGCACUGAUGGAUGGACCUGCGGCGCAUUAGCUAGUUGGUGAGAUAACAGCCCACCAAGGCAAGGAUGCGUAGCCGACCUGAGAGGGUGAUCGGCCACAAUGGAACUGAGAAACGGUCCAUACUCCUACGGGAGGCAGCAGUAGGGAGUUUUCGGCAAUGGGGGAAACCCUGACCGAGCAACGCCGCGUGAGUGAUGAAGAUCUUCGGAUUGUAAAGCUCUGUUGUAGGGGACGAAUGGUAUAGAGAGGAAAUGCUCUGUACUUGACGGUACCUUACCAGAAAGCCACGGCUAACUACGUGCCAGCAGCCGCGGUAAUACGUAGGUGGCAAGCGUUAUCCGGAAUUAUUGGGCGUAAAGAGUGAGCAGGCGGCUGUUUAAGUCUGAAGUCAAAUCUAGGGGCUCAACCCCUAAUCGCUUUGGAAACUGGACAGCUAGAGUACGAGAGAGGUAUGUGGAAUUCCAUGUGUAGCGGUGAAAUGCGUAGAUAUAUGGAGGAACACCAGUGGCGAAGGCGGCAUACUAGCUCGAUACUGACGCUCAUUCACGAAAGCGUGGGUAGCAAAUAGGAUUAGAUACCCUAGUAGUCCACGCC
RNAcentral lists this ribosomal RNA (720 nucleotides) under uncultured bacterium. RNAcentral describes it as "bacterial SSU rRNA". It matches the Rfam family "Bacterial small subunit ribosomal RNA", at positions 94 to 801 of the family's 1533-position model. The record is from RNAcentral.